UACGGAGGGGGCUAGCGUUGUUCGGAAUUACUGGGCGUAAAGGGCGCGUAGGCGGCCUGUUAAGUCGAACGUGAAAUCCCCGGGCUCAACCCGGGAACUGCGUCCGAUACUGGCAGGCUUGAAUUCGGGAGAGGGAUGCGGAAUUCCAGGUGUAGCGGUGAAAUGCGUAGAUAUGCGGAGGAACACCGAUGGCGAAGGCAAUCCCCUGGACCUGUACUGACGCUCAUGCACGAAAGCGUGGGGAGCAAACAGG
This 253-nucleotide ribosomal RNA is filed under the name uncultured bacterium. Its description in RNAcentral is "partial 16S ribosomal RNA". It matches the Rfam family "Bacterial small subunit ribosomal RNA", at positions 524 to 776 of the family's 1533-position model. The record is from RNAcentral.